RNAcentral lists this ribosomal RNA (430 nucleotides) under Pseudomonadota bacterium. RNAcentral's name for it is "Proteobacteria bacterium partial 16S ribosomal RNA". It matches the Rfam family "Bacterial small subunit ribosomal RNA", at positions 355 to 776 of the family's 1533-position model. Lineage: Bacteria; Pseudomonadati; Pseudomonadota. The record is from RNAcentral.
UGGGGAAUAUUGGACAAUGGGGGGAACCCUGAUCCAGCCAUGCCGCGUGUGUGAAGAAGGCCUUAUGGUUGUAAAGCACUUUAAGCGAGGAGGAGGGUACUGGUAUUAAUACUACCAGGUACUGGACGUUACUCGCAGAAUAAGCACCGGCUAACUCUGUGCCAGCAGCCGCGGUAAUACAGAGGGUGCGAGCGUUAAUCGGAUUUACUGGGCGUAAAGCGUGCGUAGGCGGCUAAUUGAGUCGGAUGUGAAAUCCCCGAGCUUAACUUGGGAAUUGCAUUCGAUACUGGUUAGCUAGAGUGUGGGAGAGGAUGGUAGAAUUCCAGGUGUAGCGGUGAAAUGCGUAGAGAUCUGGAGGAAUACCGAUGGCGAAGGCAGCCAUCUAGCCUAACACUGACGCUGAGGUACGAAAGCAUGGGGAGCAAACAGG